RNAcentral lists this ribosomal RNA (166 nucleotides) under uncultured bacterium. RNAcentral describes it as "partial 16S rRNA". It matches the Rfam family "Bacterial small subunit ribosomal RNA", at positions 355 to 512 of the family's 1533-position model. The record is from RNAcentral.
UAGGGAAUCUUCCACAAUGGGCGCCAAGCCUGAUGGAGCAACACCGCGUGAGUGAAGAGGGGUUUCGGCUCGUAAAGCUCUGUUGUUAGAGAAGAACGUGCGUGAGAGCAACUGUUCACGCAGUGACGGUNUCUAACCAGAAAGUCACGGCUAACUACGUGCCCAC